This is a long non-coding RNA of Neofelis nebulosa (Clouded leopard), 2304 nucleotides long. RefSeq lists it as uncharacterized. The transcript has 3 exons. NCBI's taxonomy places the organism in Eukaryota, Metazoa, Chordata, Mammalia, Carnivora, Felidae. The record is from RefSeq and is a predicted model, not a curated record.
UUGUCCAAAAAUAAAUUCUUACAUUUGUACAUAUAACAUUACAGUGUAUAAAUGGCUUUUAUAUUUAAAUGCCCUAUUAAAUUAAUAGUUAAGUUACUACUAUUCUUGUUUUACAAAUGCAGAAAAAAUUCAAAGAUUAAUGGACUUAUUUACCCAAGGUCAUUAAACUAAUGAGUAGUGAAUCCACAUCUCCUUCCACGGAAAGAAAAAAAAUUUAGAUCAGAAAAUUGUUUUCCCAUGGGCUCUUUCUGUGGAGAUAAAUGUUUGAAACUUUGAUGAAAAUAGCUGGUGAAAUGGAUUCUUUGUAACUUCAUACCAUAAAUGGCAUCCUCUGGGCUAUCUGAGGGACAUCAGCAUUAAUGAUCAAUUAAUAUCAUUAUUUAUUUUAUUUUUAUUCUUCAAAUUAGUAUUCCGACCUCUGCUGAAGUUGUUUCCUUUUUCCUUAAACACACUUUGAUUUUCAAAAUCAUUACUGCUGAGUGGGACCCCAUAACUGGGUGGAUGAGAAUAUGGAGAUUACAGCACAGUGAAGUAAAGAUAGAAGGGUGAUUUCACCAAUUCUUCAACAAACCUCUAUCUUUUCCUGCUCAAGUCAUAGGUAAUAGAGAAGUAAACCCAGGCUUGGCCUUUUAUUUUAACUGGGAAAGCAAAGGUCUGGUUUUAUAAGACUCCUGAUUCUAUAAAGACUGACACCCUCACCAAACAAACAAAACAGAAUAACCCUUGUUGUGGAUUGAAUUAUAUCCUGCAAAAAGGUAUGUGGAAGUCCUAUCCCUCAGUCCCUAAGUAUGUGACCUCUCUGGAAAUAGAAUGAUUGCUGAUGUAAUUAGUCAGGUUAAGAUGAGGUGUUACUGGAGUAGGUUGGGCCCUUAAUCUAAUAUCACUGCUAUUUUUAUAAGAAGAGGAGAGAGAGACAAAAGGAAGAUGACCGUGUGAAGACUAAGGCAGAGAUUGGAGUUACGUGGCCACAAACCAAGGAACACCAGGACCUCCAAAGAGUGAGAAGAGGCAAGCUUUUGUGAGUGUUCAACAUUCAACCCCAAGAAACGUUCGGAAGGAGUGAUGAAGGCUGAAUACUAAAGAGUGCCAAAUCCUUGAAUGAAUGGGCAACUCUGAGCUAAUAGGCCAAGAAGAAAAAUUAAAUCACCUAAGGACCAUGAUAUUGGAAACCUGGAAACAACUAAAAGAGAAUGAGAAGGCAGAAAACUAACAGCACGCUCUCCCAUCUGUUAGUCUGUUUACCAGUGUCUCAGCAUCAGCUCAUGUAUGCCGAGGGUUUAUUCAUCCCAGCGUUAUGUGAGUAAAUUGGGAAAAUUGGUUUCCUCUGGUAAAAAACACUUACACUUCAAAGUAUUUUCCCUACAUUCAUACUCCUAAUUUUCCCUUUUUGAUCUUUACAUCUGUUGUCGUACAGAUCCAAAAGCCCCAAGAUCCUGACUUCCCCUCCAACCAUCCCAAACACAUGGUUAGUAUUUAACAUCCAGAGCUUCAUUUUCGUUUUUUACUACUUAUAAUUUUGAAUGAAACUAUCACAAGAAAUGAAAUUCAAAGAAAAGAUAAUAUCAAAUAUGUCUUUAAGACUAAAUUUAUUCAGAGUUUUAUAUUCAAAUCAAAUUGGUUUUUCUCUAUAAAAGAGGGGUUAAAUUUCUGGAGCUGUUGCCUUGGAGAAAAGUAAUAGGAAAAUCUAUAGGAAAGAAAUGUAGGAAGUCUGGUGCAGCUGAUUGCAUUCACACUGGGGAAACACAGCAGGGCUGUGAUAUUAUUACCUAUAUGAUCGCUAUAGCAUGUUUGUUCUUGGAUACCCGCAGAAGGAUAGGAAAUAUGUGUGAAGAGAAGGGAUAAGAUAAAUAUGUAAAUCUUUGUUACAAUGAUUAAAAUUACUCAGAAUUAAAAUUUGCUAUGAGUUAAUGUUUGGAUGUUUAUCUCAGCAACAAAAAGCUUAAGCUAUUUUACUUUGUAUGGAAAUCAAGUGGUUGGUCUUUCGUGGGGUGCAGGGUUGAGACAACUUCUCAAUGUUUCUUUCUCAAUUUCAAGACCAUUCUGUAAUAGUUGGAAUCAAUGGCCAUAACGCUAUAAAAGUGUAUAAUUUGAAGAGAGCAUUCUCGGUCUUCAAAUAUUUUCCCAGCAGCUAUUGGCACCUGAAAUUUUGUCAUUAAAGAUUGAUUUUAUAUAAGAGCCUUGUAAAAGUAUUUACUUACAGGAGGUUGGAGGAGGUGAUACAGAAUAUAUACAAAUUUUCUUGGUGUGUAUUUUUUUUUAUUUUGAGCCAUCUGAAUGUAUUAUAUAUUAUCUGUCAAAAAUAAA